CCGUCAUAACAGCCUUUGGAUCAGGAUGGUUGCCAUGACCAAGGUUUAGUUUUGACGUUG
Molecule: microRNA precursor, 60 nt
Organism: Gadus morhua (Atlantic cod)
Lineage: Eukaryota; Metazoa; Chordata; Actinopteri; Gadiformes; Gadidae
Source: Ensembl